CCUACGGGGGGCUGCAGUGGGGAAUAUUGCACAAUGGGCGCAAGCCUGAUGCAGCCAUGCCGCGUGUGUGAAGAAGGCCUUCGGGUUGUAAAGCACUUUCAGCGGGGAGGAAGGCGUUAAGGUUAAUAACCUUGGCGAUUGACGUUACCCGCAGAAGAAGCACCGGCUAACUCCGUGCCAGCAGCCGCGGUAAUACGGAGGGUGCAAGCGUUAAUCGGAAUUACUGGGCGUAAAGCGCACGCAGGCGGUCUGUCAAGUCGGAUGUGAAAUCCCCGGGCUCAACCUGGGAACUGCAUUCGAAACUGGCAGGCUAGAGUCUUGUAGAGGGGGGUAGAAUUCCAGGUGUAGCGGUGAAAUGCGUAGAGAUCUGGAGAAAUACCGGUGGCGAAGGCGGCCCCCUGGACAAAGACUGACGCUCAGGUGCGAAAGCGUGGGGAGCAAACAGGAUUAGAUACCCGGGUAGUC
RNAcentral lists this ribosomal RNA (465 nucleotides) under uncultured Klebsiella sp. Its description in RNAcentral is "bacterial SSU rRNA". It matches the Rfam family "Bacterial small subunit ribosomal RNA", at positions 338 to 795 of the family's 1533-position model. Lineage: Bacteria; Pseudomonadati; Pseudomonadota; Gammaproteobacteria; Enterobacterales; Enterobacteriaceae. The record is from RNAcentral.